RNAcentral lists this non-coding RNA (179 nucleotides) under uncultured Butyricicoccus sp. Its description in RNAcentral is "Lysine riboswitch". It matches the Rfam family "Lysine riboswitch aptamer". From Rfam's summary of the family: Riboswitches are metabolite binding domains within certain messenger RNAs that serve as precision sensors for their corresponding targets. Allosteric rearrangement of mRNA structure is mediated by ligand binding, and this results in modulation of gene expression. Lineage: Bacteria; Bacillati; Bacillota; Clostridia; Eubacteriales; Butyricicoccaceae. The record is from RNAcentral.
AAGAUAGAGGCGCGGUUUACAUCAGUAUCAGUCCGGAGGGUCCGCAACCCGGCGAACGAUUGAGAAAGGGCAAACCGCCGAAGCCGUUCCCCUGACUGCGGCAGGGCCGUGCUGGACGGGUGGGAGAAGAUCCGCCGUGUCUGUCAUCAGCGUUUUGGAAAUGCCGGUGGAGAGCUAUC